GAAAUAGCUCAGUUGGGAGAGCAUUAGACUAAUCAUAUAAAGUUCUCUGGUUCGAACUUGGGUUUAGGCA
Non-coding RNA from Cordylochernes scorpioides, 70 nucleotides. The record is from the annotation of a GenBank genome assembly. NCBI's taxonomy places the organism in Eukaryota, Metazoa, Arthropoda, Arachnida, Pseudoscorpiones, Chernetidae.